UCUGUAGGUGGUUUAAUAAGUCGACUGUUAAAUCUUGAGGCUCAACCUCAAAAUCGCAGUCGAAACUAUUAGACUAGAGUAUAGUAGGGGUAAAGGGAAUUUCCAGUGGAGCGGUGAAAUGCGUAGAUAUUGGAAGGAACACCGAUGGCGAAGGCACUUUACUGGGCUAUUACUAACACUCAGAGACGAAAGCUAGGGUAGCAAAUG
Molecule: ribosomal RNA, 207 nt
Filed under: uncultured bacterium
Lineage: Bacteria
Description: partial 16S ribosomal RNA
Rfam family: Bacterial small subunit ribosomal RNA
Source: RNAcentral